Molecule: ribosomal RNA, 331 nt
Filed under: uncultured bacterium
Lineage: Bacteria
Description: bacterial SSU rRNA
Rfam family: Bacterial small subunit ribosomal RNA
Source: RNAcentral
CGUGCAGGCGGCCUGGUCAGUCCCGUGUGAAAGCCUACGGCUCAACUGUAGGAGGCCGCGGGAUACUGCCGGGCUCGAGGGCAGGAGAGGGAAGUAGAAUUCCCGGUGUAGCGGUGAAAUGCGUAGAUAUCGGGAGGAAUGCCAGUGGCGAAGGCGGCUUCCUGGCCUGCCCCUGACGCUGAGACGCGAAAGCGUGGGGGAGCGAACGGGAUUAGACUACCCCGGUAGUCCCAGCCGUAAACGAUGGUCACUAGGUGUUGGGGGGUACUCCCUCAGUGCCGAAGCUAACGCAUUAAGUGACCCGCCGUGGGAGUACGGCCGCAAGGUUGAA